Molecule: small nuclear RNA, 185 nt
Organism: Python bivittatus (Burmese python)
Lineage: Eukaryota; Metazoa; Chordata; Lepidosauria; Squamata; Pythonidae
Product: U2 spliceosomal RNA
Source: RefSeq, a predicted model, not a curated record
AUCACUUCUUGGCCUUUUGGCUAAGAUCAAGUGUAGUAUCUGGUUCAAGUCUAAAACUCUGUCAUUAUUUUAUAUUUAGGAUAUAAUGAAUGAUUAAGGUGUGCAUGCCAACACUUGAUAUUUAUUAUGAUUGGAGGCAUCUAGCCAAGUGGUGCAGAAAGGAUUCUACAAAUAUUUGCUCUCCU